AAGGGUAGACUGGAAGAGCUGGUA
Molecule: non-coding RNA, 24 nt
Filed under: Cricetulus griseus (Chinese hamster)
Lineage: Eukaryota; Metazoa; Chordata; Mammalia; Rodentia; Cricetidae
Source: RNAcentral